This 85-nucleotide transfer RNA is filed under the name Felis catus (domestic cat). It matches the Rfam family "tRNA". From Rfam's summary of the family: Transfer RNA (tRNA) molecules are approximately 80 nucleotides in length. Their secondary structure includes four short double-helical elements and three loops (D, anti-codon, and T loops). Lineage: Eukaryota; Metazoa; Chordata; Mammalia; Carnivora; Felidae. The record is from Rfam by way of RNAcentral.
GCCUGAGUGGCUCAGUCGGUUGAGCGUCUGACUUCAGCUCAGGUCAUGAUCUCACGGUCUGUGAGUUCGAGCCCCGCAUUGGGCU